AUGCUGAGCGUGGUACGGGUGCACCUGCCGUCGGAGAUCCCGAUUGUGGGGUGUGAGAUCACCCCGUAUGUGCUGCUGCGUCUGCCCAAUGGGGCCAUCUCCACCGAAGACGUACCUGAGACCGCGGCUGUUGAUGGUCACUUCAUGCGAUACAGAUGGUACCGCAUACAAAGCGAUCGGAAAGUUGCUAUCUGCAGUGUACAUCCAAUGGAGCAAGCAACAAUCCAGUGUCUAGGUUGUCUCAAGUCAAAAAUACCUGCUGCUAAGAGCUACCAUUGUUCUGCUAAGUGCUUCUCUGAUGCGUGGCAGCACCACAAGGUUUUGCAUGAGCGAGCUAGUAGUGCUUUAAAUGAAAAUGGAGUUGAAGAGGAGGAGCUAUUUGGUAGAUUUGGCAGUGGUAGUUCAGGGAUUCUCAGUUCUGGGUCUGGCUCAAUGUCAAAUCUUGGACAGAGCCCUGGUGUUAAUAAUGGACCUGUUCCUUUGUAUCCCUCGGGCUCUGACAAAAGCUCGGGUGAAACUUGGUUUGAAGUGGGACGCUCGCAGACAUAUACACCGACUGCAGAUGAUAUUGGCCAUGUUCUGAGAUUUGAAUGUGCAGCGGUGGAUACAGAAAAGAAAGUACCAGCAGGACCUCCAACUUCAAUUAUGACGUCACGUGUGAUUCCAGCACCAACCCCUACUCCACGCCGCCUUAUCCAAGUGAAUGGAGAUGUUUUGGGUCACUUGGAUAUGGACAGCCAGAGUUCUUCUUUCGGGACAUUCACAGUGCUGUCUUAUAAUAUUCUUGCAGAUGCAUAUGCUACAAGCGAUGCAUAUAGCUACUGCCCAACAUGGGCUCUUUCAUGGACUUACCGGAGACAAAAUUUGAUGCGUGAAAUUAUUGGUUAUCAUGCUGACAUCAUAUGUCUUCAGGAGGUACAAUUGAACCACUUUGAGGAUUUUUUUGCACCUGAGUUUGAUAAACAUGGAUAUCAGGCGCUUUACAAGAAAAGGACAACAGAGGUGUAUGCUGGAGUUCCUCAUGCCAUUGACGGUUGUGCUACUUUCUUCCGUAGAGACAGAUUUUCACACGUAAAGAAAUAUGAGGUCGAGUUCAAUAAGGCUGCACAGUCUUUAACAGAUGCGAUUAUUCCACCUGCACAAAAGAGGGUGGCUUUAAAUCGAUUGAUUAAAGAUAACAUUGCACUGAUUGCGGUCUUAGAAGCCAAAUUUGGCAACCAAGGAACUGAAAACCCUGGUAAAAGACAGCUCCUUUGUGUGGCCAAUACACAUGUAAAUGUCCACCAAGAUCUCAAAGAUGUCAAGCUAUGGGAGGUUCAAACACUUUUGAAAGGAUUGGAAAAGAUAGCUAACAGUGCGGACAUUCCAAUGUUGGUCUGUGGGGAUUUCAAUUCAAUCCCUGGGAGUACUCCACACGGGCUUCUUGCGAUAGGCAAAGUUGAUCAAUUGCAUCCAGAUCUGGCCAUUGACCCCCUUGGAAUUUUACGCCCUGUGAGCAAGCUGACACAUCAGCUUCCUCUGGUCAGUGCAUAUUCUUCAUUUGCAAGGAUGGUAGGUGUCGGUUAUGAUUUGGAGCACCAGCGGAGGAGGAUGGACUCAGGAACAAAUGAACCACUUUUCACAAAUUGCACAAGAGAUUUCACUGGUACUGUUGAUUACAUAUUUUACACAGCGGAUUCGUUGUCAGUGGAGUCUUUAUUGGAGCUUCUGGAUGAGGAGAGCUUAAGAAAAGACACUGCUCUCCCUUCACCUGAAUGGUCAUCAGAUCACAUAGCACUUUUAGCAGAAUUCCGUUGCAAGCCUAGAAUCAGACGAUGA
This 1818-nucleotide ribosomal RNA is filed under the name Triticum aestivum (bread wheat). Its description in RNAcentral is "partial small subunit ribosomal RNA". Lineage: Eukaryota; Viridiplantae; Streptophyta; Magnoliopsida; Poales; Poaceae. The record is from RNAcentral.